Molecule: non-coding RNA, 45 nt
Filed under: Schistosoma curassoni
Lineage: Eukaryota; Metazoa; Platyhelminthes; Trematoda; Strigeidida; Schistosomatidae
Source: RNAcentral
AUUCAGCUGACGAGUCCCAGAAAGGAUGAAACAUGCGUCCUGGAU